CAGGAUACCCUUAUCCCUGGGUCUGGAAAAGUGUCUCGGUAAGUCCUGGUGAAAGCCGGGAUGUGCCCGUCAAGGGAGCCGAGUGACAGGUGCUGCAUGGCUGUCGUCAGCUCGUGUCGUGAGAUGUUGGGUUAAGUCCCGCAACGUAGCGCACACCCCUAUCGUUAGUUGCCAUCAGUUCGGCUGGAGCACUCUAAACGAGACUGCCGGCGUCAAGCCGGAGGCAAGGUGGGGACGACGUCAAGUCCUCAUGGCCCUUAUGUCCAGGGCUACACACGUGCUACUACAUGGUGCAUACAGAGCGCGAGCAAGCUCGCGAGAGUAAGCCAAUCGCGAUAAAGUGCACCUCUAGUACAGAUUGCACUCAUGCAACUCGAGUGCAUGAAGUCGGUAAUCGCAUAGUA
RNAcentral lists this ribosomal RNA (404 nucleotides) under uncultured bacterium. Its description in RNAcentral is "bacterial SSU rRNA". It matches the Rfam family "Bacterial small subunit ribosomal RNA", at positions 961 to 1329 of the family's 1533-position model. The record is from RNAcentral.